UACGAGGGGGGCGAGCGUUGUUCGGAAUCACUGGGCGUAAAGAGUGCGUAGGCGGUUAUGAAAGUUAGAAGUGAAAGCCCUAGGCUCAACUUAGGAAUUGCUUUUAAAACUUCAUAACUCGAAUUCGGGAGAGGAUAGCGGAAUUCUCAGUGUAGCAGUGAAAUGCGUAGAUAUUGAGAGGAACACCGGUGGCGUAAGCGGCUAUCUGGACCGACAUUGACGCUGAGGCACGAAAGCGUGGGGAUCAAACAGG
RNAcentral lists this ribosomal RNA (253 nucleotides) under uncultured bacterium. Its description in RNAcentral is "partial 16S ribosomal RNA". It matches the Rfam family "Bacterial small subunit ribosomal RNA", at positions 524 to 776 of the family's 1533-position model. The record is from RNAcentral.